GAUACCUGGCAUAGCAUUAUCUGUGAUCUGCCUCACCACCAGGUUCUAGAUGAUACCAUGAUACCAGUCUGACUUCUCUGGGCAGGUGACCCCACAAAUGUGUCCUGGAACCCUGCCUCCCCAGAGCCCUGCUUGGAGUAUAGAUCAACCUGACUACGCCCAUGUUCAGUGGGGAAGCAAUUACAGAAGCCAGACCUUUCUGCACUUUCUGCACCCCAUAAUGAUCCUGGGUCCAUACUCCCAAAGGAAUAAAGAAAAUGGUCAUCCAAGGAAGAAACUGACAUGCCUCAAAGAACUGCUGGUUUAUGACUGUUGGAAUCAGAAUAGAUGAGAGGUACCAAAUAUAGUACUUCUCUCAUAGCCAGUUAAGUAUUAUCUCCAUCAGGGAAGCUUAUAGUUUAACUACAAAUUGUACUACUCUAGUAAAUAAUGUUGAUUUUUUUUUUAUUGACAAUAUUUUCUAUGGAACACACAGGCUAUAGAAGGAAGAUUACAAAAAAUAUUUGUGAUUAGCAAUAAUUUCUAUUUAUACAUAAAAUUUUUGCAGGGAUGGAGAGAGUUCACUGGUAAGGGACCUACCUUGUCAUAGGCAUGGUCCAGGUCCAAGCCCAACAACACGCGCACGCACGCACACACACACACACACACCCCCACCCCCCUAAAUGACAAGCAUUUACCUCUUGGGAUACAUUCCCUGAAACUCUGUUAGUCAAGAAGCCCAAACUGCUUAUUGGCAACUACUUUAUUUCAUUUUUUCCUAAACUGGAUGAAAUUUCACCCUUAAUAAAAAACUUUCACGCCUGAGGUUCCUGGUUCCAUCCCUGGCACCAAAUGUACCAAGAGUGGUGCUUAACUAGUCUUUCUCCCUCCUCUCUACCUUACUUAUGUGACUCUCAUAUGUAAUAAAUUAAAAAAUGUAUAUAAAAGAGUAUGAAAAGGGUGAGGGCAGAUAGCAUAAUGGUUAUGCAAAAAGACUCUCACGUCUGAGGUUCCAAAGUCCCAGGUUCAAUCCCCUGCAUCACCAUAAGCCAGAGCUGAGCCACUGGUGGAAAAAAAAAAAAAAAGAGUAUAGACUUCCUUUGUUUUUCCCCCAAAGAAAACAUUCAUGUUGAAGUACUGGAAUGAAGAGAAAGAAAAAGGGAGGAUAUCUUAUGUACAUUUUUAUUGUUAUUUUAUUGGAUAGAAACAGAGAAAUCAGAGGUAAAGGGGAGACUGAGAGGGAGAGAAAAAGAGACACCAGCAGCACUGCUUCAAUACUCGUCAAGUUUCCACUCUGCAGGUAGGGUAGGGGCAUUUGAACCUAGGUCCUUGUGCAUGGUAAUGACCUCAUAUAUUUAAAUGAUUUAUUUCUUCAUUAUUAUUAUUUUAAAACCAGAGUACAGCUCAGCUCUGGCUUAUGACAAUGCUGGGGAUCAAACCUGGUACCAUGAGCCUCAGACAUGGAAGUCUUUUAGCAUAUCCAUUGUGUUGUCUCCCUAACCAUCAUUUAUUUACUUUCAAAGGCAAGAAACAGGAACCAGAGCACUGCUCCAGUAGAUGCAGUGCUGGAACGAACUUGGAACUUUCUUUCUUUUUUUUUUUUUUAAAGAUUUUAUUUAUUUUAUGAGAAAGAUAGGAGAGAGAAAGAACCAGACAUCACUGUGGCACAUGUGCUGUCAGGGAUCAAACUCGGGACCUCAUGCUUGAGAGUCCAAAGCUUUACCACUGCACCACCUCCAGGACCACCACUUGGAACUUCCUACAUGCAAGUCCUUGGCUCUACUAUACAACUCUGCCCCCCUCCCAAGGCCCUUCUUUUUAACAUGCCUUCUUUUUCUGUCUUUCUUCCUUUCUUAGUAUUUUAUUUAUUUUAUUUUUGAGAGAGAAACACACAGAGAGAAGCACCAGAACACUGCUCAGCUCUGGUUUAUGGUGGUGCAGGGGAUUGAACCUGGGACUUUGGAGCCUCAGGCAUGACAGUCUCUUUGCAUAACCAUUAUGCUAUCUACCCCUGCCCCCCCUUCUUUUCUUUUUUUUUUAUAUCUUUUUUAAAAUUUAUUUAUUCCCUUUUGUUGCCCUUGUUGUAGUUAUUAUUGUUGUUGUCGUCGUUGUUAGAUAGGACAGAGAGAAAUGGAGAGAGGAGGGGAAGACAGAGAGGGGGAGAGAAAGAGAGACACCUGCAGACCUGCUUCACCGCCUGUGAAGCGACUCCCCUGCAGGUGGGGAGCCGGGGUUCGAACCGGGAUCCUUAUGCCGGUCCUUGUGCUUUGCGCCACCUGCGCUUAACCCGCUGCGCUACAGCCCGACUUCCUCUUUU
Molecule: long non-coding RNA, 2296 nt
Organism: Erinaceus europaeus (western European hedgehog)
Lineage: Eukaryota; Metazoa; Chordata; Mammalia; Eulipotyphla; Erinaceidae
Exons: 3
Source: RefSeq, a predicted model, not a curated record